RNAcentral lists this ribosomal RNA (467 nucleotides) under uncultured bacterium. Its description in RNAcentral is "partial 16S ribosomal RNA". It matches the Rfam family "Bacterial small subunit ribosomal RNA", at positions 28 to 507 of the family's 1533-position model. The record is from RNAcentral.
GAUGAACGCUGGCGGCGCGCCUAACACAUGCAAGUCGAACGAUUAAAGCACCUUCGGGUGUGUAUAAAGUGGCGAACGGCUGAGUAACACGUGGGCAACCUGCCCCUCUCAUUGGGAUAGCCACGGGAAACCGUGGAUAAUACCGAAUACUUCGGGACUUCCGCAUGGAAGACUCGAGAAAGCUCCGGCGGAGAGGGAUGGGCCCGCGGCCUGUUAGCUUGUUGGUGGGGUAAUGGCCUACCAAGGCAAUGAUGGGUAGCUGGGUUGAGAGACCGACCAGCCAGAUUGGGACUGAGACACGGCCCAGACUCCUACGGGAGGCAGCAGUGUGGAAUCUUGCACAAUGGGCGAAAGCCUGAUGCAGCGACGCCGCGUGCGGGAUGAAGGCCUUCGGGUUGUAAACCGCUUUCAGCAGGGACGAGGCGAAAGUGACGGUACCUGCAGAAGAAGCCCCGGCUAACUACGUG